CCUACGGGCGGCAGCAGUAGGGAAUCUUCCACAAUGGGCGAAAGCCUGAUGGAGCAACGCCGCGUGGGUGAAGAAGGUCUUCGGAUCGUAAAACCCUGUUGUUAGAGAAGAAAGUGCGUGAGAGUAACUGUUCACGUUUCGACGGUAUCUAACCAGAAAGCCACGGCUAACUACGUGCCAGCAGCCGCGGUAAUACGUAGGUGGCAAGCGUUAUCCGGAUUUAUUGGGCGUAAAGGGAACGCAGGCGGUCUUUUAAGUCUGAUGUGAAAGCCUUCGGCUUAACCGGAGUAGUGCAUUGGAAACUGGGAGACUUGAGUGCAGAAGAGGAGAGUGGAACUCCAUGUGUAGCGGUGAAAUGCGUAGAUAUAUGGAAGAACACCAGUGGCGAAGGCAGCUUACCAAACUAUAUCUGACGUUGAGGCACGAAAGCGUGGGUAGCAAACAGGAUUAGAUACCCUAGUAGUC
Molecule: ribosomal RNA, 465 nt
Filed under: uncultured bacterium
Lineage: Bacteria
Description: partial 16S ribosomal RNA
Rfam family: Bacterial small subunit ribosomal RNA
Source: RNAcentral